GCACAGUAUAAGAGAGUGAGUCCCUUGGUCUGAGCUUCACUCUGAGCCUCCCAGGGCCAUCCAGCCUUUGGACCUGCAGGGUUCCUGCUCUCCGGAUACCCAUCCCUCUCCUGAGGUGGCUCAGGGGAGUCUCCAGAGAUGACCCCAAUCACCUUGGAACAAGGGAGCCAGGGCAGGCAUUUCUCUUGGUUGGUGUUGAGAGUCUUGUGGAAUUUUCUUCCUGUCCCCCAGAUGAAGAUGACAUUUUUGCUGAUCACCGUGACUUACCUUUGCGCUCACACAUUGAUGGACAUCCCUCAGCGAGAUCACAGCUGUGACAACAUCAUUGUUACCACUCGGCCACCCCCAAGGUUUCCUUGUGACUGAUUGGAACCAUAAGGAAUAGAGCCUGCAGCAGAGCUGCCACUGCAGUCCAGCUGGAUAGCAUCACCCCAC
Long non-coding RNA from Mauremys reevesii (Reeves's turtle), 435 nucleotides. RefSeq lists it as uncharacterized. The record is from RefSeq and is a predicted model, not a curated record. The transcript is spliced from 3 exons. Lineage: Eukaryota; Metazoa; Chordata; Testudines; Geoemydidae.